UUGUAAUGACUUUUCUUUGCUUUUCCAUUAAAUUUUUGUGUGCUACUUUUAAAAUGUUCCCAAAGUGUAUCUACUAUCUAGGAGCAAUCACUACAUGUUAGAUACAUUUUAGAAAUUGAUAUACAUAUUUUUUUUUCUCAAAUGGCUACAUUUAUUAUCAAAUACAAAUCAUAACGUAUCCCUGCAAAAUCAAUGCCCUGAGUAGAUAUACACUGGUAAACUCCUUGUAGGAAGUCCAUGGAUGAUGCUCAUUAACUGAAAACUAAUAUAUUCAUGUUGGGAAUUUGGCCAACUUUCUCACCAAAAAAGAAAAAGGGGAAUUUGGCAACUGGGAUGCAUAAGUGUUCUCUAAUUUAGGCAUGUGAAGUAUUUUUUUUUUUGUUGUUGAUCUUAAUUUUUUGUCAUUAAUCCAGUCAAAACAAGAGCUGUAACAAUCUUAUUCACACUAUUGCUUGGGAUUAAUGGACUUGUAAUUCUUUAUGUACUGAAGUGAGUUUGCUUCCAUAGAGAUAUCAAAAUUUUUUGUUUUCUACUUCAAUCAAUUGCAUUAUGCCAUUUGGUCAUCCCCUGUUGUCACCUAUAUGCUUGUGCCUGUCAGCAAAAUACCCUUGACCACACACACACAUGCACUAGAAAAUAGAGAGAGAAAAGUGAACAGAAGGAUUUUAUAUUGUUCAGCAAGUUUGCCUGCAUCCACUAUUGAAAGGAGGAUUUAUAUAAUCUCCCCAAUAAUAAAAAUGCCAAUACCAUCACCCAGAAUUGUGCACCUGGCGGUGGAGCUCCUCCUCUUGGGUCCUCAGCUAGCUGUAAAUCUCUAGUAAGCCUCAACUCCAGUACCUCCCUGAGAAGGUGCUAAAUUAAGUACAAGCUCAACUUAAAGAUGCCAUGCAGACAUUAUGAGGUUUAUUAGGCAAAACAAAUUACAUUAGUAUAUAUGGGACUCCUUUAAUAUCAGAAAUAUAAUUUCAUAGAAGUUCUUCUCAUAUUUAAAAAUCAAGGCAGGUAUUGUUGUAUCUCACUUUCCCUCUCUUCCUCUCUUCUCUGUACAUGUACACCCCAACAAUAUUUUGUAGUAUGUGAAGUGUGCACCUGGCAAUGGCCUUUAGGCUGAAAUAGUAGUUAUACAAAUAUUCAUUCAACCAGAGUUUCAAUUUUAGGGGAAUUAGAGGCUGCGACACUUUGCAGAUUUAGCAAUGAGUUGAGCAGUCCCAGACUCUCAGUACUCAUCCUUCAUCCUAAUUUAUAUUAUUAAGGUGUUACUGGGUUUAUGUAUAUAUCAAGUUUCCAUACUGUUUUCUGUGAAUUCCGCAUCUCUCAAAAGUAGAAGUAUAAAAUAAUCCACCUCCAAGUAUCUUCCCCUACUACCUAUUAAUUCCUCCCCACCCGAACCCCCAUCACACAGUAGAUUCUGUCUAGUUGUGAUUCUGUGAAAGGCAGAUCCUAUACAAGUAAAGAUCUAACGCUUUUAUCAGAACUGGGGAUAUGGAGUUCAAGUUCUCUAUCCAAUUAAAAUCCCUGAUGCGGAAAGUUCAACAUACUAAUAAAUAAUAAUUACUGGGUUCCUGAUUGGGCAGGAACUGAUGAAAACUGAGCAUGAUGAGUCUGCAUGCAACCCC
This 1616-nucleotide long non-coding RNA is filed under the name Manihot esculenta (cassava). RNAcentral describes it as "long non-coding RNA (MESC_LNC004462)". The record is from RNAcentral. Lineage: Eukaryota; Viridiplantae; Streptophyta; Magnoliopsida; Malpighiales; Euphorbiaceae.